GAUGAACGCUGGCGGCGUGCCUAAUACAUGCAAGUCGAGCGAACAGAUGAGGAGCUUGCUCCUCUGACGUUAGCGGCGGACGGGUGAGUAACACGUGGAUAACCUACCUAUAAGACUGGGAUAACUUCGGGAAACCGGAGCUAAUACCGGAUAAUAUAUUGAACCGCAUGGUUCAAUAGUGAAAGACGGUUUUGCUGUCACUUAUAGAUGGAUCCGCGCCGCAUUAGCUAGUUGGUAAGGUAACGGCUUACCAAGGCAACGAUGCGUAGCCGACCUGAGAGGGUGAUCGGCCACACUGGAACUGAGACACGGUCCAGACUCCUACGGGAGGCAGCAGUAGGGAAUCUUCCGCAAAGGGAGAAAGCCUGACGGAGCAACGCCGCGUGAGUGAUGAAGGUCUUCGGAUCGUAAAACUCUGUUAUUAGGGAAGAACAAAUGUGUAAGUAACUAUGCACGUCUUGACGGUACCUAAUCAGAAAGCCACGGCUAACUACGUG
RNAcentral lists this ribosomal RNA (497 nucleotides) under uncultured bacterium. RNAcentral describes it as "partial 16S ribosomal RNA". It matches the Rfam family "Bacterial small subunit ribosomal RNA", at positions 28 to 507 of the family's 1533-position model. The record is from RNAcentral.